Camelina sativa (false flax) is the source of this 133-nucleotide non-coding RNA. The record is from RefSeq and is a predicted model, not a curated record. Lineage: Eukaryota; Viridiplantae; Streptophyta; Magnoliopsida; Brassicales; Brassicaceae.
UUUUUAGAUAUAGACUUAUCGGUGUGCUUUGACUUCUUUAUGCAGAGAACCUCUUAUUACCAACAUCAUGUGGAGAAACUUGCUGAUUCAGGCUAUCUAUCAAGUGAGUGUAUUGUUAACACUCAAUUUCCGA